Schistosoma margrebowiei is the source of this 43-nucleotide non-coding RNA. NCBI's taxonomy places the organism in Eukaryota, Metazoa, Platyhelminthes, Trematoda, Strigeidida, Schistosomatidae. The record is from Rfam.
AUCGCUGAUGAGUCUCAAAUAGGACGAAACGCACGUCCUCAAU